Molecule: small nuclear RNA, 105 nt
Organism: Zalophus californianus (California sea lion)
Lineage: Eukaryota; Metazoa; Chordata; Mammalia; Carnivora; Otariidae
Source: Ensembl
GUGCUCGUUUGGCCAGCAUGUGUACUCAAAUUGGAACAAUGCAGAGAUUAGCAUGUCCCCUGUGCAAUUGAUGACACACAAACUCAGGAAGCAUCCCAUAUUUUU